GACGAACGCUGGCGGCGUGCUUAACACAUGCAAGUCGAACGGAAAGGCCCUGCUUUUGUGGGGUGCUCGAGUGGCGAACGGGUGAGUAACACGUGAGUAACCUGCCCUUGACUUUGGGAUAACUUCAGGAAACUGGGGCUACUACCGGAUAGGAGCUCCUGCUGCAUGGUGGGGGUUGGAAAGUUUCGGCGGUUGGGGAUGGACUCGCGGCUUAUCAGCUUGUUGGUGGGGUAGUGGCUUACCAAGGCUUUGACGGGUAGCCGGCCUGAGAGGGUGACCGGCGACAUUGGGACUGAGAUACGGCCCAGACUCCUACGGGAGGCAGCAGUGGGGAAUAUUGCACAAUGGGCGGAAGCCUGAUGCAGCAACGCCGCGUGCGGGAUGACGGCCUUCGGGUUGUAAACCGCUUUCGCCUGUGACGAAGCGUGAGUGACGGUAAUGGGUAAAGAAGCACCGGCUAACUACGUG
RNAcentral lists this ribosomal RNA (468 nucleotides) under uncultured bacterium. RNAcentral describes it as "partial 16S ribosomal RNA". It matches the Rfam family "Bacterial small subunit ribosomal RNA", at positions 28 to 507 of the family's 1533-position model. The record is from RNAcentral.